Molecule: ribosomal RNA, 437 nt
Filed under: Babesia venatorum (nom. ined.)
Lineage: Eukaryota; Apicomplexa; Aconoidasida; Piroplasmida; Babesiidae
Description: SSU rRNA
Rfam family: Eukaryotic small subunit ribosomal RNA
Source: RNAcentral
UAAACCCUCACCAGAGUAACAAUUGGAGGGCAAGUCUGGUGCCAGCAGCCGCGGUAAUUCCAGCUCCAAUAGCGUAUAUUAAACUUGUUGCAGUUAAAAAGCUCGUAGUUGAAUUUCUGCGUUAUCGAGUUAUUGACUCUUGUCUUUAAUCGAUUUCGCUUUUGGGAUUUAUCCCUUUUUACUUUGAGAAAAUUAGAGUGUUUCAAGCAGACUUUUGUCUUGAAUACUUCAGCAUGGAAUAAUAGAGUAGGACUUUGGUUCUAUUUUGUUGGUUUUUGAACCUUAGUAAUGGUUAAUAGGAACGGUUGGGGGCAUUCGUAUUUAACUGUCAGAGGUGAAAUUCUUAGAUUUGUUAAAGACGAACUACUGCGAAAGCAUUUGCCAAGGACGUUUCCAUUAAUCAAGAACGAAAGUUAGGGGAUCGAAGACGAUCAGAU